AUGCCGGGCUGCCGAGAGAAAGGACCAGAAUGGAGGCCUGGCCCAUCUUUGCUGCAGGAUGCCACCAUGACAUUGAAGAGGACACCAGGAUUCGAAGAAAGGCUUGGCCUUGGACAGAAGCAUUGGAUAAACGUUGGAGGGCCAUCAGCAAGAGAAACACCUGAGCUCUACUCCACUGGGCAAGAAUCCCAAGGGCCCCCAUUCUGCAGCUGGGACAACGGAGACCCCGAGAAGGGAGGUCAUUUCAUCCUGAGCUCAUUUAGUGGAUUUGUGGAUGGCCAGAUGGAGACAGUUCCAGCCUGGUCAUCUCAGAGCCUCUCCUCCAAGUUCCCACAGACUCAUGCUCUCUCUCUCUCUCUCUCUCUCUCUCUCUCUCACACACACACACACACGCAGACACACACAGACACACACACACCCCCCUCGCGUUCUUGUUCCAUCUGCCCUCACACACAAAACCACAGUCUGGCUCUUGGCUUCACAGAUCUUAAAGGACCAGAUAGAGGAGAAAAAGGAACUCUUUUUCCUGAACUUAAUAUAGGUCAUUUUGGUGCUGCCAUUUUCAAACAACGGGAUGGUCUUGGUGUUGCUUGGAAUAGAACACGCUCUGCAUUUCCACAGGACCUCAGAAUGUGUCUGUAACUUCUAUGAGCCUCAUGGUUUCCCCUUUAACAGAUGAAGUACUGCAGCCUGAAAAGAAAAAUGACUUCCCGUUGGUCACACAGACUGUACUCGGCAAAGUGCAGCUUAGAGCAGUCUGCUGACCCCUACUUUUGUCUCUUUUUCCAAUGCAGGACUAGACUCUGGAUUCGGAUCCCAGCUCUGCUGCAAACGAGCUGUGUGAUCUGGGACACUGCUUUCAUAAAUGCACUGCCCCCCCAAGCAUCCUCACUCUAGAAGCACUGUCUCUCAGGAGGCCCUAGGCCAGGGCCAGGGGCCACUGGGAUGAGGAAUCCCGCUCUCUGCCCACAAGGCAGGGACGCAUUCAGAGCCCAGCAAGGGUGCAGACUGGGCUGCCUCACGUCAUCGGGGAAGAGUGCAGGAAGCCAAGGCCUCUCUCAGGGGAUCCAGAGAGUCCCAAGAGAAGUCUGGUUAGGGAAUUUCCACCCACAAGUUGGUCUCCUUUUAAGAAGGCACCACAACAAAAUGUCUGGACUCAAAAGCACAAAGAUUAGGGGUCUUUAUACACUUUAUACAAAGAUUCUUUAUUCCACAGUUCUUAAAAAAACACACACAAAAAACUCCUUUCUCCAAUUCCCACCUCUGGCUUGCUUGAAAUACAGUUCAUUUGCAAAUUGUUAGGAACACAUUUAUACAGUCAAGCAGGAGUUGGGCUAUUUGCCCUGACUACUGGUCUCAGCAACAUUGCAAAACCAGCAAGCUACUCUCAUCUCUGACUCUUGGUUUUUCCCACCUUGGACUGUUGAGGGGUUACUGGUGCCGGGGCUGGAGGAUGUUUUAUUUAUGGAACACCUACUGUGUGCUAUAGUUAACACUCCAGGGGAGGCUCAGUGCUGGGAUUUCCAUCAGGGCCUCUGAGCAUAAAGCCAGGGCUCUCUCCUCGCCUUGCUCAGCCCCUCUCUUGACUAGGUCACGCUGCUCACUGCAAAUUGGGGGCACAGAGAGCUGUAGUCUGCGAAAUGGGUAGAUCAAAGGGGUCAAAGGUUAGUGGAGGGCGUCAAGACCAUUAGGAGAGAAAGGAGACACCCUCUCUUGAGGAGGAGAGGAGCUCACCGUCUCCCCACCCAAACGGGGUUGGACAUCCCUUCCGCCCAGUGGCACCGGAGAGGGGACCCUGCGGUCAGGUACGGGGAGUCGAGGGGACCAGGAAAGCGGCUCCGGCCCGGCACUCUGAGGGGAGCCCCGGCGGCUGGCUCCGCGUGGCACUUCCGAUCCGGCUGGGCCGCACGCCGCUGCACUCCCCGGCCCCGCGCUCCGCCCCGGCCGCGCGGCGCCCCCUGUCCGACCCGCGCCCGGNNNNNNNNNNNNNNNNGUCCGGGGCGCGGCUCCAGCAUCGCCGGCAGCCCGGAGCCGGGGGCUCGGGCGCCCUCCGGC
This 2055-nucleotide long non-coding RNA is filed under the name Ailuropoda melanoleuca (giant panda). Its description in RNAcentral is "lncRNA (ENSAMEG00000030649.1)". Lineage: Eukaryota; Metazoa; Chordata; Mammalia; Carnivora; Ursidae. The record is from RNAcentral.